RNAcentral lists this ribosomal RNA (428 nucleotides) under Pseudomonadota bacterium. Its description in RNAcentral is "Proteobacteria bacterium partial 16S ribosomal RNA". It matches the Rfam family "Bacterial small subunit ribosomal RNA", at positions 355 to 776 of the family's 1533-position model. The record is from RNAcentral. Lineage: Bacteria; Pseudomonadati; Pseudomonadota.
UGGGGAAUAUUGGACAAUGGGGGGAACCCUGAUCCAGCCAUGCCGCGUGUGUGAAGAAGGCCUUAUGGUUGUAAAGCACUUUAAGCGAGGAGGAGGGUACUGGUAUUAAUACUACCAGCUACUGGACGUUACUCGCAGAAUAAGCACCGGCUAACUCUGUGCCAGCAGCCGCGGUAAUACAGAGGGUGCGAGCGUUAAUCGGAUUUACUGGGCGUAGCGUGCGUAGGCGGCUAAUUGAGUCGGAUGUGAAAUCCCCGAGCUUAACUUGGGAAUUGCAUUCGAUACUGGUUAGCUAGAGUGUGGGAGAGGAUGGUAGAAUUCCAGGUGUAGCGGUGAAAUGCGUAGAGCUCUGGCGGAAUACCGAUGGCGCAGGCCGCCAUCUGGCCUAACACUGACGCUGAGGUACGAAAGCAUGGGGAGCAAACAGG